GAGGGUAUAGCUCAGUGGUAGAGCACAUGCUUAGCCUGCAAAAGGUCAUGGGUUCAAUCCCCAGUAUCUCCA
This 72-nucleotide transfer RNA is filed under the name Camelus bactrianus (Bactrian camel). It matches the Rfam family "tRNA". Rfam says of the family: Transfer RNA (tRNA) molecules are approximately 80 nucleotides in length. The record is from Rfam by way of RNAcentral. Lineage: Eukaryota; Metazoa; Chordata; Mammalia; Artiodactyla; Camelidae. RNAcentral also lists the same sequence under 3 other names.